This is a long non-coding RNA of Rosa rugosa (rugosa rose), 1367 nucleotides long. RefSeq lists it as uncharacterized. The transcript has 4 exons. NCBI's taxonomy places the organism in Eukaryota, Viridiplantae, Streptophyta, Magnoliopsida, Rosales, Rosaceae. The record is from RefSeq and is a predicted model, not a curated record.
AUUAAGGCUCUAGAUUGCUCUAGAGCAACCAGCAAGCUCGAGCUCUCUCGGCCCGAGAUAGAGAAACCCGACGACCCGCAAGGCUGCCCGGCGACAACUCCGGCUUCCGGCCACCGAUCGACGACGCAAGGCCACCAAUCUCUUCCUCUCAUCGUCGCCGUCACGCCUGUCGCUUCAGAUCGUCCAUGCGCCGGACGAGGAAGAAGAAUCGACGCGAGAGAGUCUGACUGCUCCGCCGAGCUUCUGCAAAUUUCGGCCACCGAUUGGGCUGUAUGUGGUAUGAAAAUCGCUCAUCUCGUUAUGCUUUCCACGUCUGUGUAAUUAGUUUUCCAAUUUGAUCAGGUUUUGACAAAUCGAUUUCUGGGCUUGCUUUGGGUUCGACGUCGUUGUUGCGGGGCGGCUACUUUUCCGGCUUUCCUUGGGUUAGUUUUUGUCUUCGCUGCGACUGUAGAUGAAGACAGUUAACACUUGGAGUUGAAAUUCAGAAGCUUGCUAGGUAGACCACAGUUCGUCAUUGAUUGAGUUUUGGGCAGAGUUUCGAGGAACUGUUGCCGAGCUGGGUUAGAGGUUUGGGUUUCCCACCUGCAGAUGAUACUACUGAAGGACUCCAGUUACCCGAGGAACAGAAGGUUUGCAACUCUCGGAGUUCGUGAGGGAAAGCAUCGGAAUCCAGGUAGGGAUUCAGGACUCUCCUCGGUUAGUGGUUUUCUUAUAUAUUGUUUUUGAAACGAUGCAUGCUAAGUGGAAUGGUUUGGUUAUGUUAAAAUGCAAUGCAUACUAACCAAAUCGUGAGAAAUGUGAUGGCUUGAGAGCGAAAGGGGCACCGACUUCCUUGGGUUCGAUUCCCUAAACCUCCGGAGGGUUAGCUAUGCCGGUCGUCCGAGUAUCCGCAAUCACGGACUUGUGUGGAUGCAGGUACUGUGCACUGGUGACGGGACAAUGGCGGACGGAGCUGGGUGUGCGGAACAAGUUUGGUACCUAACCAAUAUUAUCAGUAAUGACAAAUAAAAAGUAGAACGCAAUUUCUCUUGGAUAUUACUGUUACAGAAGUUGUGAAUAUUUUGUUUUGACAUGAUUACAUGAAGAAGGUAUAUAAAAGCUAUAGAAUUUCAAGAACAAGUUGAUGAAAUGUCACGUCCAAAAUCUUGCAUUGGUGGACUUUAAGCACCUGAAUCGGAAUAUGAGGUGUGAGUGUUACAAAGCAGAAUAUAAAUAAACUCUUUCUUUUAGGUUCAUCUAAUCUCUUUCUGGCUUGAAACACUCUUAGUACCUCUUUGCAAAAGAUUUUAGAUAUGGGUGGGUGAAUAAAACCACACACUCAUUGAGUAAGUCAUGUAAUAUGCCAGUGAAUCCAUGCAGUUUUACAC